CCUACGGGCGGCAGCAGUGAGGAAUAUUGGUCAAUGGACGAGAGUCUGAACCAGCCAAGUCGCGUGAAGGAUGACUGUCCUACGGGUCGUAAACUUCUUUUAUCUGGGAAUAAAACAGGGUAUGCAUACCCUCUUGUAUGUACCUUAUGAAUAAGCAUCGGCUAACUCCGUGCCAGCAGCCGCGGUAAUACGGAGGAUCCGAGCGUUAUCCGGAUUUAUUGGGUUUAAAGGGUGCGCAGGCGGAAGAUUAAGUCAGCGGUAAAAUUUAGAGGCUCAACCUCGUCGAGCCGUUGAAACUGGUUGUCUUGAGUGGGUGAGAAGUAUGCGGAAUGCGUGGUGUAGCGGUGAAAUGCAUAGAUAUCACGCAGAACUCCGAUUGCGAAGGCAGCAUACCGGCGCUCAACUGACGCUCAUGCACGAAAGUGUGGGUAUCGAACAGGAUUAGAUACCCGAGUAGUC
This 459-nucleotide ribosomal RNA is filed under the name uncultured bacterium. RNAcentral's name for it is "partial 16S ribosomal RNA". It matches the Rfam family "Bacterial small subunit ribosomal RNA", at positions 338 to 795 of the family's 1533-position model. The record is from RNAcentral.